Rattus norvegicus (Norway rat) is the source of this 719-nucleotide long non-coding RNA. Ensembl lists it as uncharacterized. The record is from Ensembl. NCBI's taxonomy places the organism in Eukaryota, Metazoa, Chordata, Mammalia, Rodentia, Muridae.
CCUGGGUUGCCUGGGAGACCCCAAGAUGCCAGAGCCCUUGGGAUACCUACUGAGGAAAACACUAACAGCCCAAGAGAGAGUAACCUUGGGCCAUGCGUGCACUGGGCAAGUCCUCUGCCCCUGGGUCCCAUCCCUGGCAUGAAGCUAAAGCCCCUUUGCAGACCCGACCCUGAUUCAUUCUCCUCUUUCCUUAUAGAGGGACUGCAUCCAUCUCGUGAAAUCCAAGCCCCUGCUACCUGGGGGUUUCUGACAGGAAACUGUAGCUGACACCUGGUUCUUGCCUCAGGACCAUGGCUCCAAGGGACCAGAGAAGGAGCACCAGGAGGAAAUUGGCUCUUGUGGAUCAUGUUGCAGCUUGGAGACCAGACAGGAGCCCAGCAUGGCCGUACUUGGAAAGGCCCAACAAGCAGCUGGAGGAGCCAGAUGCAAAUGCUUACACCCAACCAAUGAUCCGAAGCUGGGGACCUCUGUGGUUAAAUUACGGAAAAGUUGGAAGAAGCUGAGGUGGAGGGUGGCUCCAUUGGAAGACCCCAGUCUCAACUGACCUGGAUCCUCGAGAUCUCUCAGAUACUGGGCCACCAACCAGGCAGCAUACAUCAGCUGGUAGGAGGACCCAGACACAGAUACAGCAGAGGACUGCCUUGCCUGGCCUUAGCGAGAGAAGAUGGACCGAGAGAACGGUCCAGAUACUUGAGGCCCCAGAGAAUCGGGAGGCCCGG